Phrynosoma platyrhinos (Desert horned lizard) is the source of this 72-nucleotide non-coding RNA. Lineage: Eukaryota; Metazoa; Chordata; Lepidosauria; Squamata; Phrynosomatidae. The record is from the annotation of a GenBank genome assembly.
GCCAGAGUGGGGUAAUGGUUUGAGAGUUGAACUGCAACUCUGGAGACCAGAGUUCAAUUCUCUGCUCAGCCA